UACGUAGGGUGCAAGCGUUAUUCGGAAUUACUGGGCGUAAAGCGUGCGCAGGCGGUAAUGUAAGUCAGUUGUGAAAUCCCCGGGCUCAACCUGGGAACUGCGCUUGUGACUUCAAGACUAGAGUACGGCAGAGGGGGAUGGAAUUCCGCGUGUAGCAGUGAAGUGCGUAGAUAUGCGGAGGAACACCGAUGGCGAAGGCAGCUGGCUACACGAGUAUUGACACUGAGGCACGAAAGCGUGGGGAUCAAACAGG
This 253-nucleotide ribosomal RNA is filed under the name uncultured bacterium. Its description in RNAcentral is "partial 16S ribosomal RNA". It matches the Rfam family "Bacterial small subunit ribosomal RNA", at positions 524 to 776 of the family's 1533-position model. The record is from RNAcentral.